GAUGAACGCUGGCGGCGUGCCUAAUACAUGCAAGUCGAGCGAACGGACGAGAAGCUUGCUUCUCUGAUGUUAGCGGCGGACGGGUGAGUAACACGUGGAUAACCUACCUAUAAGACUGGGAUAACUUCGGGAAACCGUAGCUAAUACCGGAUAAUAUUUUGAACCGCAUGGUUCAAAAGUGAAAGACGGUCUUGCUGUCACUUAUAGAUGGAUCCGCGCUGCAUUAGCUAGUUGGUAAGGUAACGGCUUACCAAGGCAACGAUGCAUAGCCGACCUGAGAGGGUGAUCGGCAACACUGGAACUGAGACACGGUCCAGACUCCUACGGGAGGCAGCAGUAGGGAAUCUUCCGCAAUGGGCGAAAGCCUGACGGAGCAACGCCGCGUGAGUGAUGAAGGUCUUCGGAUCGUAAAACUCUGUUAUUAGGGAAGAACAUAUGUGUAAGUAACUGUGCACAUCUUGACGGUACCUAAUCAGAAAGCCACGGCUAACUACGUG
Molecule: ribosomal RNA, 497 nt
Filed under: uncultured bacterium
Lineage: Bacteria
Description: partial 16S ribosomal RNA
Rfam family: Bacterial small subunit ribosomal RNA
Source: RNAcentral